This 253-nucleotide ribosomal RNA is filed under the name uncultured bacterium. RNAcentral describes it as "partial 16S ribosomal RNA". It matches the Rfam family "Bacterial small subunit ribosomal RNA", at positions 524 to 776 of the family's 1533-position model. The record is from RNAcentral.
UACGUAGGGUGCGAGCGUUAAUCGGAAUUACUGGGCGUAAAGCGUGCGCAGGCGGUUUGGUAAGACAGACGUGAAAUCCCCGGGCUUAACCUGGGAACUGCGUGUGUGACUGACAGACUAGAGUGUGGCAGAGGGGGGUAGAAUUCCACGUGUAGCGGUGAAAUGCGUAGAUAUGUGGAGGAAUACCAAUGGCGAAGGCAGCCCCCUGGGUUAACACUGACGCUCAUGCGCGAAAGCGUGGGGAGCAAACAGG